RNAcentral lists this unclassified non-coding RNA (285 nucleotides) under Hevea brasiliensis (rubber tree). The record is from RNAcentral. Lineage: Eukaryota; Viridiplantae; Streptophyta; Magnoliopsida; Malpighiales; Euphorbiaceae.
ACUCUUAAAUUUUCUAAUUUUACAUAGAAUAUAAUUCUUAAAUUGUAUUGAGAAUAUCAUCUUCCUAUUCUGCAUUACUCCUCAUCCUUGUGGUGUUUAGAAAAUUGAAAUAGGAUUUUGAUGUCAUACAUAUUGCUAUUUUAAAUUGGAAAUUAAAGUGGGAUUCUAUUUGAAUUAUGAUUAGAAAAUUAGGGAUUGGAAUGCUUAACAUAUUAUGAUUUUACCAUUCCAUUUAAUUUUUUAAUUUCUUUUUUUUUUAUUUUUUAACCCAAAAUCGUUCAGAGU